Molecule: ribosomal RNA, 498 nt
Filed under: uncultured bacterium
Lineage: Bacteria
Description: partial 16S ribosomal RNA
Rfam family: Bacterial small subunit ribosomal RNA
Source: RNAcentral
AUUGAACGCUGGCGGCAUGCUUUACACAUGCAAGUCGAACGGUAACAGGCCGCAAGGUGCUGACGAGUGGCGAACGGGUGAGUAAUGCAUCGGAACGUGCCCAGUCGUGGGGGAUAACGCAGCGAAAGCUGUGCUAAUACCGCAUACGAUCUAUGGAUGAAAGCGGGGGACCGUAAGGCCUCGCGCGGUUGGAGCGGCCGAUGUCAGAUUAGGUAGUUGGUGGGGUAAAGGCCCACCAAGCCAACGAUCUGUAGCUGGUCUGAGAGGACGACCAGCCACACCGGGACUGAGACACGGCCCAGACUCCUACGGGAGGCAGCAGUGGGGAAUUUUGGACAAUGGGCGCAAGCCUGAUCCAGCAAUGCCGCGUGCAGGAAGAAGGCCUUCGGGUUGUAAACUGCUUUUGUACGGAACGAAACGGUCCGGGUUAAUACCCUGGGCUAAUGACGGUACCGUAAGAAUAAGCACCGGCUAACUACGUGCCAGCAGCCGCCGUAA